This 798-nucleotide ribosomal RNA is filed under the name Moniliophthora sp. MCA2500. Its description in RNAcentral is "eukaryotic LSU rRNA". The stretch from base 210 to 363 matches the Rfam family "5.8S ribosomal RNA". Lineage: Eukaryota; Fungi; Basidiomycota; Agaricomycetes; Agaricales; Marasmiaceae. The record is from RNAcentral.
GGUUGAGCUGGCUCUUCUAGGGCAAUGUGCUCGCUGCCUUUCAAUAAUUUUCAUCCACCUGUGCACUUYUUGUAGGGGAUCUGGAAUUUGGACGUGCGCAAGCUUUGUUCAUUAGUACGGGUCUUCUAUGUUUUUACACACUCUUUAAAUGUAUGUCUAGAAUGUUUAACGUUUAUUGGGACUUAGUUGGCCCUCUAAAGAAACUAUACAACUUUCAGCAACGGAUCUCUUGGCUCUCGCAUCGAUGAAGAACGCAGCGAAAUGCGAUAAGUAAUGUGAAUUGCAGAAUUCAGUGAAUCAUCGAAUCUUUGAACGCACCUUGCGCCUCUUGGUAUUCCGAGAGGCAUGCCUGUUUGAGUGUCAUUAAAUUCUCAACCUCAAAAGCUUUUUUUGAGGAUUGGAUGUGAGGGCUUUGCUGGCUUUGAAUAAGAGUCGGCUCCCUUGAAAURCAUUAGUGGAAACCGUUUGGUGGACCACAUUGGUGUGAUAAUUAUCUACGCCAUGACUUUGUUGUCCACACUUCGAAUGCUAUAGYUUUUUAAACAAAAGCUAUAACACUUCGGUUUGGAGGGUUGCAAGUUGUGUAACAAUGACUUUUGCUCUCUCUGUUAAAAGGUAUCUGCUUCAAACCGUCCUAAGUUAUUGGACAAUUAAUUGAUUUGUUUGACCUCAAAUCAGGUAGGGUUACCCGCUGAACUUAAGCAUAUCAAUAAGCGGAGGAAAAGAAACUAACAAGGAUUCCCCUAGUAACUGCGAGUGAAGAGGGAAAAGCUCAAAUUUGAAAUCUGGCAGUCUCUG